AAACUGACCUGUUUGGAUCGCUUCGGUUAUCGGCUAUUUACUUGAUCGGUCAUCGGUGGAUAUUGUUAUAGAGAACUGUACUGGGUAGCGGUCCAGUAAUUACACAAAACCAAUUGGAUAUUCAUUUAAACCGAAACCUAUAUUUUCAAAAGACAAGUUUGGCAUUUUCAAAUUACUAGACCACUUUAACUUAUUUGUAACUACUUUUACAUAAUAAAUACAUAUAUAACUUUUGUUAAAAAAUAAAAUAAAAUAUAUUUGGGUUAAUACUGGUAUUUUAUAAUCGAACCGAUUGACCCAGAACUGGUCGACGGUCCUAGAUAGAUACAAAAUCACUAUACCCGAUUUACCUGAAACCGAACUAUUCUUACCCAUAACCGGAAUAUCUGAGAGCCAUGCCAUAAUCAAUAGGUUCUAGAUCCCGGUUUAUACGAUGAUGUGCUGUUCUAUUUUAAUCAUCUGAAUAACAUUAUAUAUGCUAGGUAUCUAACAUUGUUCUGGCUCAAGCAUCUUAAUUAGAGCAAAAACACUUGAAAAACUUCUAUUCUUUUUUACUGAAACCUAUCUUGUAACGAUGAUGAAUUAAUGGUCUUGGUAUAGAAUGAUUUAGAAGAUAUAUCCAACUUUGCUAAAAAAGAAAGUUUUUCUAUAAUUUUCUUAUUUUAGUUAAGAGAAUUCAAAGGAUAUGAAUCUCCCAUGAAAUCUGUGGUUCUUUUGUUGUGUUAGGUAAAAAGAAAAACCAUUUGACUUUCUUUCCCCUAGUGUCAAUGGAUGUAAUCUUCCUUUAGGUUUUUUUUUUCUUUCUCAUCAACUAUUAUUUUUUUACCCAUGCUCCGGCUUUUACAACAACAUGGGUUGUGUUGUUUCAAGGCCUGAGACAAAUGAAGGAGGAGAUUAUAAACUGAUAACUCGCCGAGGAUCUAUCGGUAAAGAUAGUGAAAUUUCUGAGAGCAUCACACUAGAUCACGAAUUGUCUACACAUAGCAAAAGGUCCAAAACUGGUGGUGAAAAGGCAUGUAAGGAGGAGGAAGACGUACGUGAAAAUGCACAAGAAGAGAAAGGAGACGAGCACAAACUUUCACCAUCUCCUAGUUUUCGUAUUUAUUGUGUUUUCCCUCGUGAUCCUAAUGAUGACAACGUCGUUGAUGAUCUGCCACGGAACAAGAACAUAUCAGAAGUAAACAAGGUGGAAUCUACGAAA
Brassica napus (rape) is the source of this 1201-nucleotide long non-coding RNA. RefSeq lists it as uncharacterized. The transcript is spliced from 2 exons. The record is from RefSeq and is a predicted model, not a curated record. Lineage: Eukaryota; Viridiplantae; Streptophyta; Magnoliopsida; Brassicales; Brassicaceae.